AGCGAACGCUGGCGGCAGGCUUAACACAUGCAAGUCGAGCGGGCACUUCGGUGUCAGCGGCGGACGGGUGAGUAACGCGUGGGAACGUGCCCUCUGGUUCGGAAUACCUCAGGGAAACUUGAGCUAAUACCGGAUACGCCCUUUUUGGGGCAUGGCUUGCUGCCGGAGGACCGGCCCGCGUCUGAUUAGCUAGUUGGUGGGGUAACGGCCUACCAAGGCGACGAUCAGUAGCUGGUCUGAGAGGAUGAUCAGCCACACUGGGACUGAUACACGGCCCAGACUCCUACGGGAGGCAGCAGUGGGGAAUAUUGGACAAUGGGGGCAACCCUGAUCCAGCCAUGCCGCGUGAGUGAUGAAGGCCUUAGGGUUGUAAAGCUCUUUUAUCCGGGACGAUAAUGACGGUACCGGAGGAAUAAGCCCCGGCUAACUUCGUGCCAGCAGCCGCGGUAA
RNAcentral lists this ribosomal RNA (450 nucleotides) under uncultured bacterium. RNAcentral describes it as "partial 16S ribosomal RNA". It matches the Rfam family "Bacterial small subunit ribosomal RNA", at positions 29 to 523 of the family's 1533-position model. The record is from RNAcentral.